Molecule: ribosomal RNA, 372 nt
Filed under: uncultured organism
Description: bacterial SSU rRNA
Rfam family: Bacterial small subunit ribosomal RNA
Source: RNAcentral
CGUACCGUCCAAACGUUAUUCGGAAUUACUGGGCUUAAAGGGUUUGUAGGCGGCGCUGUUAGUCGGGUGUGAAAUCCCAGGGCUCAACCCUGGAACUGCGCCCGAUACUGCAGUGCUUGAGGGAGACAGAGGUAAGCGGAACUGAUGGUGGAGCGGUGAAAUGCGUUGAUAUCAUCAGGAACACCGGUGGCGAAAGCGGCUUACUGGGUCUCUUCUGACGCUGAGAAACGAAAGCCAGGGGAGCGAAGGGGAUUAGAUACCCCCGUAGUCCUGGCCGUAAACGUUGAGCACUUGAUCGAGGGCCCCCCCAUAGGCUCUCGGUCGUAGCGAAAGUGUUAAGUGCUCCGCCUGGGGAGUAUGGUCGCAAGGCUG